GAUAAGCACAAGGCCCAAAAUGAAGCCUGGCUCAAAGCCAGAGCAGAGGAAAAUGACAAGGAAAGAAAAGAAAUAUGUAAACUGAAGGAAGAGAUUCUUCAUGAUCAGGAGAGGCUAAAAGAAGAACAGCAAAAUAUUCAACAGCGCAAUCAGCAACUGCUUUCUAUUAUUCAGCAGUUCAAAGGAAUGUGACCAGUCUGCUGAAUAAAACCUGAAUCAUAUGAUCAGGAUCAUAGCAACAUACAACCUUACUUGAACAACUGAGCUCUUAUAUACUAAUAUAAAAAAGAUCCAGUUACUGUGCAUGUUGAAGGACCAUAUUCAGUUAGUGUGAAAAAGAGUUUAAUCUCCCUAGGUUUCUCAUGAGCACUGGAAUGAUAUCUCAAUUAAAUUUCCACCCUCUACCUUUCCUGCAUUUUCCAUUUUGAUUCAAUGUUCUUUCAGAUUUUUAAAAAAUUAUCUCCUUGCCUUGUCUGAGCUUAAAAAAGAAGAAAAGGCAGAACACUAUGGCUGCCCCUAUGAAAGCUGGACCUGCAGAGUUUUAUUUCAGGGUCAUGCGGUUAAGAUUAGGAUGUCAUUCAUAUACCAGGAAAAAGAAGAGCGCGGUUGUCAAGUAGGGCAUUCUUGUUUUUAAAAAAAAAAAGUUAAAUAUUUUGUAACAGUGGGAAAGAAGACAGAAACCACAACUAGGAUAAUAUGGUUAUAUUUUAUGGCCAGAUUCUGCUUAUAAUUAAACUGGUGUAACCGAAGAACAAGUCCAUUGACUGAAAUGGAGUUACAUUGAAUUCAUACAGGGGGAAACUAAGAACAGAAUUUUGAAACUGAGCUUUGCAUUGGAGGGACCAAAUAUGGACCAUGUUUAAACAGCUUACAGUAAUAAGGCAAAAAAUCAUGUUUGUUGUGUGUGUAGGAAUUGUCAAAGGUUUUAGGCAUUUUGUUUUCAACUUGAUUCAUGAAAAGAAAAGUUAUUUCAGUCAUCUGCUUCUCUGUAUUAAACUGUUUCUCCUUUUUAAAUUUCAAUGGGCUGCUUUAUACCAUCAAUUUCAGGCAGAACUCACUGGUGUUUGAAAUCAGUGGGCACUUCUGCUGAAAAAUCUCUGGCACUAUAUUACCCCACAUCUUAAAAAUCAUUUUUUCAACAGACAAAUUGUCAGUGUUUGUAGCAGGAAAAGUUGGAAAUAUUACACCAUAUUAGUAACAUUCACACCCAAUUUCAGAGGGGAUGUAGAAGUUAACCUCCUUACACUCAUGCUGUAGUACAUUCAUGCCCAAAGUGUAAGUGACUCUAAGAUGGUACAAUUUACACACUGUGAAGAAAGGAAAUGUGUGUAAAAGUAGGGGAGAAGUCCUACUUGAACUUACGCAUUCUUAUGUCCUCCUGUUAGUUGGUUUUCUUGGUACACUUCUGUAUGGUCCCCUUGGCAUGAGGGUAUCAACUCAGGCCUGGUCUACACUAGAAAAUUAGGUCAGUUUAACUACAUCAGUCAGGGGUAUGAAAAGUCCACACCUUUGAGUGGCAUUGUUAAGCCAACGUAUGUCUUUGUGUAGCCAGCACUAGAUCAACAGAAGAAUUCUUCAGUCGAGCAAGCUAUUGCCUCUUGAGCAUAGGUACUGGAACUAGAGGUGCUGGGGGUGAUGCCAUGCCCCCUUGUUUGAAGCAGGGCUGGAUUACCCAAUAGGCACACUAAGCACAUGCUUAGGGCACCAGCAUGUGGGCACCAAAAAAAAAAAGGUUUUGUUUUUUUUUUAAAUUUGAUAUUUCAAAAAAAGCAUCCAAGUAGUCAUCAUGGGAAAAAUCAGAACUUUGUUAGACUUCCUUACACUCUACUACAUGCUUUUCCCCCAUUUUUCUGUCCUCUUUUUAUUUUUUAUCCCCACCUAAACCAGGGGGGCGUCCUACUAACUAGAUCGAAAUAAUGCGAAGAAAUCAGAUCCUGUAAUGUAUUGCAAUAAAUUUAUAUUUUAUUAUUGA
Non-coding RNA from Caretta caretta (loggerhead turtle), 1972 nucleotides. The record is from RefSeq and is a predicted model, not a curated record. NCBI's taxonomy places the organism in Eukaryota, Metazoa, Chordata, Testudines, Cheloniidae.